Eurytemora carolleeae is the source of this 268-nucleotide long non-coding RNA. RefSeq lists it as uncharacterized. Lineage: Eukaryota; Metazoa; Arthropoda; Copepoda; Calanoida; Temoridae. The transcript is spliced from 4 exons. The record is from RefSeq and is a predicted model, not a curated record.
UUUGAUCUUGAUAACUUAACUCAACAGUGCUCUUAAAAUAUGAUCAAGGAUUAAAGAUGCGAGACAUCCUCUUGAUGACAAAAACCUGUCCGGACCGCAGUAUCUUUUAUCCAAGUUUCUAAAAGAAGCUUCAUCUGGUGUUCAACAUCCCAAUCCUCGACGAUCUCUUUUCCCUGAACCAGCACAGAUGAAUAUUGAUCAACCUUGUGCACCUUCAUAUAUACAAAGCUGUUCUGAGAAGGAGAAGGAUGAUGUUGAGGAGAGUAAG